Molecule: transfer RNA, 76 nt
Filed under: Sphingomonas paeninsulae
Lineage: Bacteria; Pseudomonadati; Pseudomonadota; Alphaproteobacteria; Sphingomonadales; Sphingomonadaceae
Also listed under: 1 other name
Description: Sphingomonas sp. YZ-8 tRNA-Thr
Rfam family: tRNA
About the family: Transfer RNA (tRNA) molecules are approximately 80 nucleotides in length. Their secondary structure includes four short double-helical elements and three loops (D, anti-codon, and T loops). Further hydrogen bonds mediate the characteristic L-shaped molecular structure. tRNAs have two regions of fundamental functional importance: the anti-codon, which is responsible for specific mRNA codon recognition, and the 3' end, to which the tRNAs corresponding amino acid is attached (by aminoacyl-tRNA synthetases). tRNAs cope with the degeneracy of the genetic code in two manners: having more than one tRNA (with a specific anti-codon) for a particular amino acid; and 'wobble' base-pairing, i.e. permitting non-standard base-pairing at the 3rd anti-codon position.
Source: RNAcentral
GCCGGCUUAGCUCAGUUGGUAGAGCACCUGAUUUGUAAUCAGGGGGUCGCGAGUUCGAACCUUGCAGCCGGCACCA